This 73-nucleotide transfer RNA is filed under the name Wohlfahrtiimonas chitiniclastica SH04. It matches the Rfam family "tRNA". Rfam says of the family: Transfer RNA (tRNA) molecules are approximately 80 nucleotides in length. The record is from Rfam by way of RNAcentral. Lineage: Bacteria; Pseudomonadati; Pseudomonadota; Gammaproteobacteria; Cardiobacteriales; Ignatzschineriaceae.
GGGUUGGUAGUUCAAUUGGUAGAGCAACGGUUUCCAAAACCGUAAGUUGAGGGUUCGAGUCCUUCCCAGCCCG